Molecule: long non-coding RNA, 432 nt
Organism: Vigna radiata var. radiata (mung bean)
Lineage: Eukaryota; Viridiplantae; Streptophyta; Magnoliopsida; Fabales; Fabaceae
Exons: 3
Source: RefSeq, a predicted model, not a curated record
UUUUAAGAAUGUUUCCCUUUUCUUCAAGCAUUCUCUCUUUUGCUUCUUUGCCCUAUUACCCUUCCAUCUCAAACUCAUAUUCUUGAUCCUUGACUUGUGGAACAGAAGAUACUUAAUUCGGUAGGGAUUCAAGAGUGCUUUUAAUAUUUUGGGAGUGCAAACGAGUGGUUUAGGGUUUCUCCGUGAACUUGGCGUCUUGCAUAGAGGAUCACCAACUCCAACUCAGGUUCUAAACAGGCUUUGUUGCUAGAUGCCUUUUACUAACAAGAGAGGUGAUGAUAUUUAUAAGCACAACAUGGAGAUAUUUCUGGAAUGUUCUUGUUGUUACACCACAAAGACUAUAUGUUACUUCUGCAAUUAAGUGGAUUUUAUUUACAUUGAAAACAACAAAAAGCUGAGGAGAGAGAGAAAAUUAAGAGGAUUUUAUAUUUU